GGUACCUUGACGGUACCUAACCAGAAAGCCACGGCUAACUACGUGCCAGCAGCCGCGGUAAUACGUAGGUGGCAAGCGUUGUCCGGAAUUAUUGGGCGUAAAGCGCGCGCAGGCGGUUUCUUAAGUCUGAUGUGAAAGCCCCCGGCUCAACCGGGGAGGGUCAUUGGAAACUGGGGAACUUGAGUGCAGAAGAGGAGAGUGGAAUUCCACGUGUAGCGGUGAAAUGCGUAGAGAUGUGGAGGAACACCAGUGGCGAAGGCGACUCUCUGGUCUGUAACUGACGCUGAGGCGCGAAAGCGUGGGGAGCGAACAGGAUUAGAUACCCUGGUAGUCCACGCCGUAAACGAUGAGUGCUAAGUGUUAAGAGGGUUUCCGCCCUUUAGUGCUGCAACAAACGCAUUAAGCACUCCGCCUGGGGAGGUACGGUCGCAAGACUGGA
This 439-nucleotide ribosomal RNA is filed under the name Bacillus licheniformis. RNAcentral's name for it is "bacterial SSU rRNA". It matches the Rfam family "Bacterial small subunit ribosomal RNA", at positions 463 to 898 of the family's 1533-position model. Lineage: Bacteria; Bacillati; Bacillota; Bacilli; Caryophanales; Bacillaceae. The record is from RNAcentral.